UGCAAUAUAUUUUAUUUAAAAUACUUACUUUACACGUAAGAGUUCCCUAUUAAGGGUUUUGCUA
RNAcentral lists this transfer RNA (64 nucleotides) under Rhinebothroides sp. MZUSP 8013. RNAcentral describes it as "tRNA-Val". The record is from RNAcentral. RNAcentral also lists the same sequence under 2 other names. Lineage: Eukaryota; Metazoa; Platyhelminthes; Cestoda; Rhinebothriidea; Rhinebothriidae.